UGAGUAUCCAACCUGUAAUUAUCAGCUCCCACUCGUGUAUCCGCACUCCCUCGAGCGCGGCGAUGUCACAGCUGUAGCUCCCUGCAUGAGACCUCUGGACGCCGUCUAUCACCACCUCUCAAUCAAAAGAGCUAAAUUGAGGAUGCCGUGAAGCAGCGUAGGAUCAUGGGAGUUGUUGUCUUCUUCGGCACCAAAUAAUGUUCGUGGAUGAGUGAUCAACAACAAGAGGGGAGUUAAUCCACUGAUCCAAUCAGAGCAGGCAGGUAACAUAAGACCGCGCCUCCUGCAGCAGCAGCAACAUCACUGGAGAAGAAACGUUAAGAUGGAUUGAGAGGAGGUCAAGACUCACUACACUUGGCAAGUACCUUUACUUUGAAUCCCUGAAGUAUUUUGAAAAGCAAGUAAUUACCUACUUUUACUCAAGUAGAAAAGUUAAUGUCAUACUUAUACGUUUACUUGAGUACAUUGUCUAUUUAUUUGUACUUUUACUGAGGGGAAAUGUUUACAUCACUGCUUGCUUGGACACAGCUCCCCUACAUGAGCACAUAAUAACAUAGUUAUUUCAGAAGUAACAGAAAUGUGCUAAUUGUCAGUACUUAAUAAUUUAUUUAAAUUUUGUCAAAUUUAAUAGAAACCUAGUUGAGUAGAAGUCAGCGGUGGAAAGUAAUUAAGUACAUUUACUUUAUUGAAGUAUUAUUUUAAUGUACCUCUACUUUGCUUGAUUAUCUAUAAUACACUUUAUAGUGAAUUUAUGUACUUUUUACCCAACUACAUUAAUAUGAUACAUUUUGUCAAUAGUGAAUUUGCCGAUUCAGAUUAUUAAUAGAAAAUAUGAUCAGCUAAUAAAUGAUGAUGAAUCAAUAGGUUAAAAUAAGACUUAAAAUAUGAGAAAUAGUUAAAAUCCAAUUUUUACAAGCUGUAACCUUAAGUGAUGAAUGCAUCAGUAAGUAUGAAAGUAUAUGUUAUAAUCCAAUUAAUUUUGGUCCAUCAGGUUAACCAAUUCUUCUGAAUGCAGGAGUGUGUGUGUGUGUGUGUGUGUGUGUGUGUGUGUGUGUGUGUGU
Hippoglossus stenolepis (Pacific halibut) is the source of this 1061-nucleotide long non-coding RNA. RefSeq lists it as uncharacterized. NCBI's taxonomy places the organism in Eukaryota, Metazoa, Chordata, Actinopteri, Pleuronectiformes, Pleuronectidae. The transcript has 3 exons. The record is from RefSeq and is a predicted model, not a curated record.